This 955-nucleotide long non-coding RNA is filed under the name Lepisosteus oculatus (spotted gar). RNAcentral describes it as "lncRNA (ENSLOCG00000022879.1)". The record is from RNAcentral. Lineage: Eukaryota; Metazoa; Chordata; Actinopteri; Semionotiformes; Lepisosteidae.
AAGGCACGGAGUUAGAUGGACCAGUGGACCAAUCGGAGAAUUAGUUGCCUCUUGAUUGACGGCUGAAACAAAGGCUGUGGCUCAAGUCUCGCCCAAAUCUCCGCUCUCACGAGAUCGAAGAGCUUUGAUAAAAGCCGGGCUUUUCAGAAACGAAAACAACAUCUUUGAAGAAUGAAAAGUACUUAAAUCAUGUGAAACGGGCGACGGUGUCCUCAGCAUGACAUCUCACAGGCGGAAACGUUCGAGUAUAGACGAUGACGAAUUUGAACAACUGUAUCAAUCCAUCUGUCAAAGUCAGACUGAAGACCACAUCCCCACGCAUCUCCUGACAAAGCAAUCCAGUCCUUUAAACGCAGGCAAGAAGCAGAUCUUGGAGAAGGGUUAUCCCUCUGGGCAGUCACUCAAAGCCACUCGCACGCUCCUGUGUAGUGACCGGUCGCCUGUGUGUUUGCAGAGGCCACAGUGGCAGGGUGGUGCCUCCUUGUGUUCCAGCAACAAGGAGGUAGAGGUGCCGAACGUCAACGAAACGCUGGCCAAUAAGCGCCUGACCCCCCGUCCGCCGGACUGCGCAACCGACGCAGACGCCCUUCGCUUGCCAGAUGGCCCGUUCCGUCCGACGAGAGACGGGGAGGCUGCCCGCAGCCCGUCGGAGGCCGAGGGCGAGCCUUCGCACGACGAAGUGAGCAUCCUGGAGGACGACGACUUCGGGUUCCGGGCCGACGUGGUGCGCCUCCCGGAAGCGGGGGGGGAAAGCGAGGGCCACGACACCGCCGCCGCCGCCGAGGACGGCUUGUCGUGGGCGUCCGGAGAGGAGUAUGAUGCCGCGAGACUCUGUGACGCCUGCGUGGCGCUCUUCCAGAAAAUGCACUCCGCCAAGAAGACGAAGAUGAAGAAGAAGAAGAAGAAGAUUGACUAUAGUAAGUUACAUUUUGCUGCAGGGGAAGAGGCAUGGUGA